ACACAUGCAAGUCGAACGGUAACGCGGGGCAACCUGGCGACGAGUGGCGAACGGGUGAGUAAUGUAUCGGAACGUGCCCAGUUGUGGGGGAUAACUGCUCGAAAGAGCAGCUAAUACCGCAUACGACCUGAGGGUGAAAGCGGGGGAUCGCAAGACCUCGCGCAGUUGGAGCGGCCGAUAUCAGAUUAGGUAGUUGGUGGGGUAAAGGCUCACCAAGCCAACGAUCUGUAGCUGGUCUGAGAGGACGACCAGCCACACUGGGACUGAGACACGGCCCAGACUCCUACGGGAGGCAGCAGUGGGGAAUUUUGGACAAUGGGGGCAACCCUGAUCCAGCCAUGCCGCGUGCGGGAAGAAGGCCUUCGGGUUGUAAACCGCUUUUGUCAGGGAAGAAAAGACUCCUGUUAAUACCGGGGGUUCAUGACGGUAC
RNAcentral lists this ribosomal RNA (430 nucleotides) under Roseateles sp. RNAcentral describes it as "bacterial SSU rRNA". It matches the Rfam family "Bacterial small subunit ribosomal RNA", at positions 51 to 478 of the family's 1533-position model. The record is from RNAcentral. Lineage: Bacteria; Pseudomonadati; Pseudomonadota; Betaproteobacteria; Burkholderiales; Sphaerotilaceae.